This 253-nucleotide ribosomal RNA is filed under the name uncultured bacterium. Its description in RNAcentral is "partial 16S ribosomal RNA". It matches the Rfam family "Bacterial small subunit ribosomal RNA", at positions 524 to 776 of the family's 1533-position model. The record is from RNAcentral.
UACGUAGGGAGCAAGCGUUAUCCGGAUUUACUGGGUGUAAAGGGUGCGUAGGCGGCUUGAUAAGUCAGGGGUGAAAGCCCGCAGCUUAACUGCGGAACUGCCUUUGAUACUGUCGAGCUUGAAAGAGGUUGAGGUCAGCGGAACGUGACAUGUAGCGGUGAAAUGCAUAGAUAUGUCACAGAACACCGAUUGCGAAGGCAGCUGGCUGGACCUACUUUGACGCUGAGGCACGAAAGCGUGGGGAGCGAACAGG